This 465-nucleotide small RNA is filed under the name uncultured Fusobacterium sp. RNAcentral's name for it is "bacterial SSU rRNA". The stretch from base 1 to 341 matches the Rfam family "Bacterial small subunit ribosomal RNA", at positions 1194 to 1533 of the family's 1533-position model. The record is from RNAcentral. Lineage: Bacteria; Fusobacteriati; Fusobacteriota; Fusobacteriia; Fusobacteriales; Fusobacteriaceae.
CAUGCCCCUUAUACGCUGGGCUACACACGUGCUACAAUGGGUAGAACAGAGAGUCGCAAAGCUGUGAAGUGGAGCUAAUCUCAGAAAACUAUUCUUAGUUCGGAUUGUACUCUGCAACUCGAGUACAUGAAGUUGGAAUCGCUAGUAAUCGCGAAUCAGCAAUGUCGCGGUGAAUACGUUCUCGGGUCUUGUACACACCGCCCGUCACACCACGAGAGUUGGUUGCACCUGAAGUAGCAGGCCUAACCGUAAGGAGGGAUGCUCCGAGGGUGUGAUUAGCGAUUGGGGUGAAGUCGUAACAAGGUAUCCGUACGGGAACGUGCGGAUGGAUCACCUCCUUUCUAAGGAGUAUAAGUCUUUCUCUAUUCUAUUGGUAAUGUUCUUACAUUACUUCUGAACAUUGGAACAAAGGAUGCCUAGGUAGUAAGAGCCGAUGAAGGACGUGGUAAGCUGCGAUAAGCCUAG